RNAcentral lists this ribosomal RNA (253 nucleotides) under uncultured bacterium. RNAcentral describes it as "partial 16S ribosomal RNA". It matches the Rfam family "Bacterial small subunit ribosomal RNA", at positions 524 to 776 of the family's 1533-position model. The record is from RNAcentral.
UACGAGAGGCCCAAACGUUAUUCGGAAUCACUGGGCUUAAAGAGUUCGUAGGCGGCGCGGAAAGUGGGGUGUGAAAGCCCUCGGCUCAACCGAGGAAUUGCGCUCCAAACUGUCGCGCUUGAGGAAGCUAGAGGUAAGCAGAACUGAUGGUGGAGCGGUGAAAUGCGUAGAUAUUGGGAAGAACACCUGAGGCGAAGGCGGGUUGCUGGGCCGACACUGACGCUGAGGCGCGAAAGCCAGGGGAGCAAACGGG